UACGUAGGUGGCAAGCGUUACUCGGAAUCACUAGGCGUAAAGCGCAGGUAGGAGGUUUGGUAAGUCUGUUGUGAAAGCUCCCGGCUUAACUGGGAGAGGUCAACGGAAACUACUAGGCUAGAGUGCGGUAGAGGUAGCUGGAAUUCCCGGUGUAGCGGUGAAAUGCGUAGAUAUCGGGAGGAAUACCUAUGGCGAAGGCAGCUCGCUGGGACGUGACUGACGCUGAGACGCGAAAGCGUGGGGAGCAAACAGG
Molecule: ribosomal RNA, 253 nt
Filed under: uncultured bacterium
Lineage: Bacteria
Description: partial 16S ribosomal RNA
Rfam family: Bacterial small subunit ribosomal RNA
Source: RNAcentral